RNAcentral lists this ribosomal RNA (484 nucleotides) under uncultured bacterium. RNAcentral describes it as "partial 16S ribosomal RNA". It matches the Rfam family "Bacterial small subunit ribosomal RNA", at positions 30 to 507 of the family's 1533-position model. The record is from RNAcentral.
AUUGAACGCUGGCGGCAGGCCUAACACAUGCAAGUCGAGCGGAUGAAGGGAGCUUGCUCCUGGAUUCAGCGGCGGACGGGUGAGUAAUGCCUAGGAAUCUGCCUGGUAGUGGGGGAUAACGUCCGGAAACGGGCGCUAAUACCGCAUACGUCCUGAGGGAGAAAGUGGGGGAUCUUCGGACCUCACGCUAUCAGAUGAGCCUAGGUCGGAUUAGCUAGUUGGUGGGGUAAAGGCCUACCAAGGCGACGAUCCGUAACUGGUCUGAGAGGAUGAUCAGUCACACUGGAACUGAGACACGGUCCAGACUCCUACGGGAGGCAGCAGUGGCGAAUAUUGGACAAUGGGCGAAAGCCUGAUCCAGCCAUGCCGCGUGUGUGAAGAAGGUCUUCGGAUUGUAAAGCACUUUAAGUUGGGAGGAAGGGCAGUAAGUUAAUACCUUGCUGUUUUGACGUUACCAACAGAAUAAGCACCGGCUAACUUCGUG